CAUGUCUAAAAGCAAUCAAUACACAGGUACAAUGAUCAUGGAAUUAGUUAUGAGUUUUGAGCUCUCUACAUGCCUCACCAAAAAACUUAAAAGCUCAUUUAAAGUUACGAAUCAAUUCAUGUCACUUUAUAACUUGUCUUUCGUCUAGAGAGUAAUAACAUGUUUAGUUGGGGGUUUAUGAAUAAGUUCCAGUCCAAUUCGGCAGGCCCAUCACCAGUUCAUGCCUCCCUUGCUUGCUUCGCCUCCGGCCACUUUCGUUCCUCCACUCUUUCAUGUCAGUCAAUUGAAGCCACCAGUUCCUCCGUUCCUCUCGACAACCUCUGUCUUGUUUAUGCGUUCAGUUUAGGGGUGAAACAGUAUAACUAGCAUGAUGUGGAGUCGAGGAAACUAGCGUGAUGUGGAGUCAGGUAUUCAUGGAGCUGUGACUGAAAGUUGUCAUCAGUGGGGUAUUCCACUUGACCUAAUUUAAAUGAAUGGUUAAAGGUUAUUUGAAUUGUGGUCUCCAUGUGUGUGUGUUUUUUUCCUUGUUGGACAUAUUUUCUAUGGAGAGAGCACAUUAACAAGGAAUUACUAUUUGUGGUCCUACCAACUCGUAGGAAGGGUGCCUCUGUUUUACUUGGUGAAUAUGAUCUAUGUCUGUAAGAGGAGUUUGUUACUGGUUUGUCUUUUUUUAAUGUGAUCAUCUGUUUUUUCUGUU
Long non-coding RNA from Gossypium raimondii (Peruvian cotton), 697 nucleotides. RefSeq lists it as uncharacterized. The record is from RefSeq and is a predicted model, not a curated record. NCBI's taxonomy places the organism in Eukaryota, Viridiplantae, Streptophyta, Magnoliopsida, Malvales, Malvaceae. The transcript has 2 exons.